Long non-coding RNA from Notothenia coriiceps (black rockcod), 318 nucleotides. RefSeq lists it as uncharacterized. The record is from RefSeq and is a predicted model, not a curated record. Lineage: Eukaryota; Metazoa; Chordata; Actinopteri; Perciformes; Nototheniidae. The transcript is spliced from 5 exons.
AUGUUUUAAACACCGCGUGUGUUUCUGUUCUCAGGUGCGAUCACAGCUGUGGGCUCAUUUUCUCUGAAAGCAAACGAACUCCUGCAGGUGAUAGACAAGAGCAUGAAGAACUUUAAAGCCUUUUUCCGCUGGUUGUACGUCGCCAUGCUGAGGAUGUGUGAGGAGCACGUUCCUCCAGAGCUCAACAAGAUGACCCAGAAGGAUAUUGCCUUCGUGGCUGACUUCCUGUCGGAGCACUUCAGUGAGAACGAAGAGCUGUUUGAUCGCAAAGGGAAAUACUUUAACGUGGAGCGAGUGGGCCAGGUAGGAGUUCUGUGU